Callithrix jacchus (white-tufted-ear marmoset) is the source of this 1350-nucleotide long non-coding RNA. RefSeq lists it as uncharacterized. Lineage: Eukaryota; Metazoa; Chordata; Mammalia; Primates; Cebidae. The record is from RefSeq and is a predicted model, not a curated record.
CAGGUGACUGCUGUAAUUUGGAUGUGUCUCCCAAAGUUUAUGUGUUGGAAAAGUUUCCAGUGCAACAGUUUUGGGAGGGAGAGUGGUUCAUUUCCAUGCUAAAAUUGAAAUAACAAUAAUACAAGGAAUCUAAGGUUCCAAGAGUCAAAGAAGCUUGCCCAAAUGUCACAGUUAAUGAGAGGAAGAACUGGAACUGAAACACAUGUCCUCAGUCUCCAAACCAUGGGAAGCUUCCACUGAGCCACACUACCACCCCGACAUAACAACUUCUAAGGGUUUCCUUCAAGCAGGGACUGAACUGAGUAGCCUGUCAGAGAAGCAAUGAUGUCCUUCACAGGAAGAAGGGGAGGACAUGCUCCCCGAUGCUGGGCUCUGGGGACCAUGCGUGCGCUGCAUGUUGCUGCUGUUUUAUUGACCUUGCUGCCCCACACUCUAUCAGUGGUGGUUGUGGAGAUGGCCAUGGUGGUGGCAUUAAGAUCAUGGCCCUCCAACAAAAGCCAAAAUAGACAAAUGGGACCUAAUCAAACUCCACAGCUUCUGCACGGCAAAAGAAACAGUCAUUAGAGUGAAUCGGCAACCAACAGAAUGGGAAAAAAUUUUUGCAGUUUACCCAUCUGACAAAGGGCUGAUAUCCAGAAUUUACAAAGAACUCAAACAGAUUUACAAGAAAAAAACAAACAAGCCCAUUCAAAAGUGGGCAAAGGAUAUGAACAGACACUUUACAAAAGAAGACAUACACGAGGCCAACAAACAUAUGAAAAAAUGCUGAUCAUCACUGGUCAUAAGAGAAAUGCAAAUCAAAACUAUAUUGAGAUACCAUCUCAUGCCAGCUGGAAUGGCAAUCAUUAAAAAUUCUGGAGACAAUAGAUGCUGGAGAGGAUAUGGAGAAAUAGGAACACUUUUACACUGCUGGUGGGAGUAUAAAUUAGUUCAACCAUUGUGGAAGACAGUGUGGCGAUUCCUCAAGGACCUAGAAAUAGAAAUUCCAUUUGACCCAGCAAUGCCAUUACUGGGUAUAUAUCCGAAGGACUAUAAAUCGUUCUACUAUAAGGACACAUGCACACGAAUGUUCAUUGCAGCACUGUUUACAAUAGCAAAGACCUGGAAUCAACCCAAAUGCCCAUCAAUGAUAGACUGGAUUGGGAAAAUGUGGCACAUAUACACCAUGGAAUAUUAUGCAGCAAUCAAAAACGAUGAGUUCGUGUCUUUUGUAGGGACAUGAAUGAAUCUGGAGAACAUCAUCCUCAGCAAACUGACACAAGAACAGAAAAUGAAAUACUGCAUGUUCUUACUCAUAGGUGGGUGUUGAAAAAUGAGAACACAUGGACACAGGGAGGGGAGCACUACACA